GACUGGUUUCGCCUUGCCUUACGCUCAUCAGGAGAAUGACUCCAGUUCCCAACCAGUG
Molecule: non-coding RNA, 58 nt
Filed under: Citrus x clementina
Lineage: Eukaryota; Viridiplantae; Streptophyta; Magnoliopsida; Sapindales; Rutaceae
Source: RNAcentral